UUAGGAUCUUGCUGACAUUGAGCCUCUGCUGCAGGAGCUUGGCUGCUAUGGCCACUGAGUUGAAAUAACAGAAUCCCCUGAGGAUGGAGGUGGCCAAAGCACACAUACCAGAAGGAGCAGCACAAUGAAGCAAAAGUGAAGCAAAAAAUGUGGACCGUUGUCAUGCCUAUAGCCAAUGAGUUUGCACCAGAUGAAGUUAUGGCAUCAGACACCGGGGACGAUACAAACUGACAGGUAAAUGCACAAUAAGUAUUCAUUAAGUCAUUUAAUUAACCUAAAUUGUGUUGGAAACAAGCUAAUAUGUACUAUAUGUUUGAACGGCUUUGCAUGAACUAGUUUAAGCAACUGCGUAAGAAUACAUGGUGAUGCGGCGCAAAAAGUCACGCAUAGUUACUGCUGUACUUACUGUUUUUCAUUUCAUUUUUUUGAUACUUUUGUCUAGAAGUGUUUUUCACACAAAUAUUGACCGUGAUUAUUACUUUACUUUACAAAGGAUAGUGAGACUGACACGUUCCCACCUAAGUAAAAAUUCGGGUUAGAUGGCUGCCUUCAGAACAGUCGUUUACCAUCGUAAACCGAGGAAACCAAGCGUCUCUUCUUUCC
Long non-coding RNA from Phyllopteryx taeniolatus (common seadragon), 603 nucleotides. RefSeq lists it as uncharacterized. Lineage: Eukaryota; Metazoa; Chordata; Actinopteri; Syngnathiformes; Syngnathidae. The transcript is spliced from 3 exons. The record is from RefSeq and is a predicted model, not a curated record.